Molecule: long non-coding RNA, 1398 nt
Organism: Anthonomus grandis grandis
Lineage: Eukaryota; Metazoa; Arthropoda; Insecta; Coleoptera; Curculionidae
Exons: 2
Source: RefSeq, a predicted model, not a curated record
AGUGCCUAAAUAAACAUAUGGCAUAAUUAAGAAAUAUAAUGCUAAAAUAUUAAAUUAGUUCUGCUAGUCGUUAUAUUUGGAAAGGGAUUCACUUAAUUUCUGGAUGAAACAUAUACUAGGAAACUGUGAAUUAAUAAGACUUUAAAUGCUUGGAAGAAAUAAGAAGUUUGGACUGCCUGGAAAAAGAUGCCCCUUCGAAUGACUAAUGACAAAUUGUCUAGAACCAAAAAAAACUUAAUUUUUUUCAAAACCUAAUGACUUAUCUUAAAAAAACUAAAUUUUGCACUUAUUUGCGAUGAAAAAUGGCAAAACUACUGCAAUUUUCAUAGCGAUAAACGACUUAAAAAUAAACCAGCUCUAAUUCUCUUCUGGUUAGCUGAACCUUGAAACAAAUUAUGAUCAACCCAAAGAGGAAGGUACCAUUAUCCUCGAAGGAACCAGAGUAAAUUUAAAAAAUGCAGAUCAAUCAUAGGCUAACGGUAAUAGCUGCAUUGUAAUGAUAUUCACAACUAUGAGACAAGGUUUAGAAGUAAUGUAUUAACUACCUAACUAAGAGUCAAUAACUAUUAGGCUGCGCUCUUUAAAUAAUUACGCAAAUCACAAUUUUUAGUAUUAAAAUAUAUUGAUUUUCUUGCUAGGUGAGUAUUACUUUUAAUUAUUUUACUUGUCACUUUAUUUUCAGUUCAUUUGAUAUGAGUUAAGGAGUAGAUCUUUUGGUUUGCAGUGCCAAUCAUGGUGUCAAAGGCUCUUGACAAGGUAAAUUAUACUCUAGCAAUCUUUUGCCCCUUAUCAAUAUAAUUUACAAUAUGGUAAGUCAAUUGCUUGUUUUGGAAUAAAGCCCUACUGUUGAGGUACUAAGAAAUCAUUUGAUUUUAUGAAUGUAACAGAGAUUCGGCUAUAGGAUGAUCUUAGAGAAUACAAUCCUUAUCUUUUGUUUAAUAUAGGUUAAAAACUACCACCGUUACAUUGAGCACACUGAGUGGGGUCAUAAUAAGAAGGUUCAGAUUUUCAGCGGGUUGUAGCCUAUACGACUGCAUACCAUAGGAAGGACUAAUGAUAAAUGCAGAUCCAGCUACGGCCAACUUUCUUUUUAGUUCGCUUUGUUAAUAACUGGCAAGACUACAUACAACCUUAGUAACAAAAAAAAAAGGAUUAUAAGUGAAAGCCCGAUAAAGCACUUAGAAAAGGCUUCAAAGGAAAUCAAGGCUAUAUAUAGCUAGCUCAUUGCUUAGUUUUAAUGUUUGUCCUGUAAAAGGUGCCUGGAAAGUUGAUAUGAAUGUGUACUACAUAUUGUGAGAUGGUACAUGAAGAGUGAGAUAUGGACAUAAUUAUUUUCUUAUAAAGAAUUUUUAAGUCUUAAGUUUGUUUUGUUUAAAUAAAGUAAAAUACUUAUUAUUA